CUUUACUGUAGCCUGGAAUUGGGUCCGGGCUUCGCUUGCGCAGGAUAGGUGGGAGACUAUGAAGCUGCCCUUGUGGGGGCAGUGGAGUCAUCAGUGAGAUACCACUCUGUCAAGGCUAGAAUUCUAACCGUCUGCCGUUAUCCGGCGACGGAACAGUAUCAGGUGGGCAGUUUGACUGGGGCGGUCGCCUCCUAAAUGGUAACGGAGGCGCGCAAAGGUUCCCUCAGGCUGGUUGGAAAUCAGCCGAAGAGUGUAAAGGCAGAAGGGAGCUUGACUGCAAGAGCAACAACUCAAGCAGGGACGAAAGUCGGCCUUAGUGACCCGACGGCGCUGAGUGGAAGGGCCGUCGCUCAACGGAUAAAAGUUA
This 367-nucleotide ribosomal RNA is filed under the name uncultured organism. RNAcentral's name for it is "bacterial LSU rRNA". It matches the Rfam family "Bacterial large subunit ribosomal RNA", at positions 2099 to 2465 of the family's 2925-position model. The record is from RNAcentral.